RNAcentral lists this long non-coding RNA (7291 nucleotides) under Panax ginseng (ginseng). Its description in RNAcentral is "long non-coding RNA (PGIN_LNC018592)". The record is from RNAcentral. Lineage: Eukaryota; Viridiplantae; Streptophyta; Magnoliopsida; Apiales; Araliaceae.
AAUAGAGUGAAGGGUUGCUAACUGAAGACAUUUUUUACUCAUAACUUUAUCUGACUCAAGGUCUACAUGUAGUAAAUGUGCAGUAGAGAUUGUACCUAAGAUAUCAUUGAUCAGAUAAUUAAUCAAUAAAGAACAUUUGAAUUUCCUGCAAAAUCAGACUUAUUGAGAAAUAUGAGGCAAAAGGAGAGUUUUGACAACAUAACUCUCGCAGACUAUUAUCAGCAUAAUAAAAUAAAAUAUAUAAUUUAAACUACCACUAAGGUCACGUCAUGUUCCAUCAGUCCUGGUCUGCAUCCAGUGUAGUUUAUGGGANNNNNNNNNNNNNNNNNNNNNNNNNNNNNNNNNNNNNNNNNNNNNNNNNNNNNNNNNNNNNNNNNNNNNNNNNNNNNNNNNNNNNNNNNNNNNNNNNNNNCAACGUAUAAAAUUGAGCUCAACCAUUUAGAGCGAGAUCUUCUACUUCAAAAACUGUUACUGCAUUGUAGUUGAACUAAUUAAGGAAGUAACAGUCCAAUAGAUAGAGAGGUAGAGAGGGCCACAACUGGGAACUGGAAUGGAACUGAUGAGCAUACAAAGUCCCACCAUUUUUAGACGUUUCUUCUGCAAUUUCUAUGUAUACUUUUAUUAAUUAUAUGCAAGUAUACUUGCAUUUUAUUUGGUAUGGUUAUUUGAUUUUAUAAAGUGUUACAUUUUCUAGUUAUUUUUCCUGUUAUUAAACUUACUCAAAUAAUAUGUGUAGAAUGUAUAUACAUUCUACACAUAUAUUUUUAUAAUAAUCAAGAAUUAUAAUUUAGACUUUAAUAAUAAUUGUAUUUAUAAUCACAAUUUAUUACAAGAAUUUUUGAAAGAUUACAUAUAAAGUCAAUAUUAAUCUCAUAUGUUGGAACUGGGAAAGUAAAUAAUAUAAAGUAUAAGAUGACUAAAUAAUAUACAAAAAUUAUUAUUAUCAUAACAAAAAUAUAAAUAUAAAAUAUAUGAAAAAUCCCUAUAAAAUUAAAAAUAUAAAAAUAUUUCAAAUUAAUCCGUGCUUUGCAGGGCCAGUGUGCUAGUAUAACACAAAUUGAUUUCUAAACCCUAAAAUUUAGGAAUGAUCCUUCAAAUCUAAAAUUUAGGAAUGGAACCUAAAAUUUAGAAAAAGAAACUAUUUUUUCAUCUUUAAUUUGAUUUCAGAAUAUUUUCAUGUACAUUUUUACUAUCAUGAUUAUCUACUUAACGCUAUCUCUUAUUCUUAUACAUUUUUUCCUUUAGUUAGUGUUAUUUAGAAUUCAUAUUCUUGAUAAUUAUAAUAUUUAAUUUAUAUAAUAAUUGGUUUUAUUAACUUAUAUAAGUAUAACUAUAUGAGUUUAAAAAAGAUUUUACUAUUACAUAAAUAGAUGAAUAUAUGAAUAAAUCAACAAAUAAAUCAUUAAUUUAAGAUGAAUACUAUCAUUUAUACCUUAUAAAUAGAUGAACUAUUAUUAUAAAUUUUAAAUUUAUUCAAUUUUGUAUUAAUAAUUAGUUAUACAUUAUUGGUUAAAUAAUAUAUUUUGGAAGGAAUUUUUUUUCUUACAAAAAUAUCAUAUGUUAUUAUUAUUAUUCUAAUUAAUAUAUUAUUAUAGCAUAAUAUAAAAGUUUAUAAAAAAUAUAAUAAUUUUGGAACAAAGCUCGUGCUUCGCAGGGGAUGAUGAGCUAGACAAAUCACACUUCUACCCAACUCAACAACCCGUGCUUCACACGGGAUCAUUAGCUAGUUAUAAUUAAGAACCAAACCAUUUUUAGUUAUAUCAUAUCACAAUUUUAUUAUAUUUAAAUUUAUAAGAAUAAAAUUAAUAUAUUAUUAAUAAUAUAUACUUUGGAAUAUCCNNNNNNNNNNNNNNNNNNNNNNNNNNNNNNNNNNNNNNNNNNNNNNNNNNNNNNNNNNNNNNNNNNNNNNNNNNNNNNNNNNNNNNNNNNNNNNNNNNNNAUUAAUAAUGCAUCAUUUAAUAAUGUAAUCAAGUCAAGUCAUUACAUUACUACUAUAUGAAUACUUGAUGAUAUGGAAAUGAGCAUAAUAUUGGAAGGCAUUACCAUCAUAUUGUUUUGCUCCACUUUAUUCUCUUAUACCUUGAUAACUUUCACUGCAGUAGAUACCAUCAGACCAAAUCAAACCAAAGAGAUGGCGGCGACGCCACUAUUCAGCCGGUGGAGAAUUCAAACUCAGAUUUUCCAGCCCUGGUAGCUCCACAAAUGGAUACCUGUGUAUAUGGUACAACCGUACAAGAAUAUAUCAAAUGGGACAGACGUAUAGUUCCACCUGCGUGGCAAAGGUCAAUGACCCAAUGUCAAGGGAAUUAUAUUGUUUACUACACAUUAUGGAGAAAUGCUUAUAACUUCCUUUUUCAAUUAAGAAAAUGAUGAUUUCAGCAAAUUCAACAAUAACUUUACUUUAAGAAACCAGGCCAUUUGAUUAACAAGAGUGCACACAAUUCAAAAGAAAUUUAUUGAUUAUUCAUAAUGUGCCCCCACUUUUUGAACAGACUGUUUAGUUCAAUAAUAUAUAUAUAUAUAUAUAUAUAUAUAUAUAUAUAUAUAUAUAUAUAUAUAUAUAUAUNNNNNNNNNNNNNNNNNNNNNNNNNNNNNNNNNNNNNNNNNNNNNNNNNNNNNNNNNNNNNNNNNNNNNNNNNNNNNNNNNNNNNNNNNNNNNNNNNNNNNNNNNNNNNNNNNNNNNNNNNNNNNNNNNNNNNNNNNGACAGUGACCCAGUCAAUUUUCUUUGGCAGAGUUUUGAUUAUCCUGGAGAUACUUUGCUACCAGGAAUGAAGUAUGGAUUGGACUUGGUUACUGGCCUAAACAGGUACUUCACAUCAUGGAAAAGUGCUGAUGAUCCAUCUCCAGGUAGUUUUACGAACCGGGUUGAUCCCAGUGGCAUUCCACAGUUAUUUUGGUGGAAAGGGUCAACGCUACGGUCUAGGUCUGGACCAUGGGUUGGUUGUCAAGUUAGUGGAAAUCCUAAUAGUAUACCAAAUGGAAUCUAUAAAGAGGAGUUUGUUUUCAAUGAGAAGGAAAUAUAUUAUAAAUUUGAUCUUCUCAAUAAAAGUUCUUCUCCUACUACAAGGUUUAUAGUGAAUCCGAAUGGUGAUGCACAAACUCUGAUAUGGAAUGAUCGAAAUCAAUAUUGGAUGGUUUAUGUUACUAUACAUGUUAGUGAUUGUGACCGUUAUGGAUUGUGUGGUGCAUAUGGUAGUUGUAACAUUAACAAUUCCCCUAGAUGUGAAUGCUUCAGAGGAUUUGUUCCAAAGUUCCCAGAAAAUUGGGAAGCAGCAGAUUGGUCUGACGGGUGUGUCCGCAAAACCCUACUGGACUGUGGAAAUGGAGAUGGUUUUACUAAGUAUUCGGUUGUGAAAUUGCCAGACACACGAUAUUCAUGGUAUAACAUGAGCAUGAACCUUGAGGAAUGUGAGAGGGUGUGCUUGAAGAACUGCUCUUGUACAGCUUAUGCAAAUGCAGAUAUCAGAGGAGGUGGAAGUGGGUGUUACCUAUGGUUUAAUGAGCUGAUAGAUACCAGUGGCUACACAGCAGAUGGGCAAGAUCUUUAUGUAAGAAUGUCUGCCUCUGAAUUAGGUAAGACUACUUUGUCCACACAUUAAAGGUUUUACUCAACAUAUCUGCCUCAGUUUUUUUUUGCUUUUCUAGGAUUCUGUAUUUAUAUUUUGAAAUUAUUAGGCUACGCGGAGGAAAGCAAGAGAUUCAGACUAAAGAGGCGAAUGCAGAUCAUAGUCAUUCCUGUAGUACCAACAGUACUACUUGCCUUUUUCUUGUUUGUAUUCAAGAAGAGAAUUCUGAAGAGAGGAGGUAAAUAUGACUGAAUUUUACAUUGAAACAAAAACUGUAUUUAUUAACCAAAGACAACUAUUACGACCACAAAUAGAAGAAAAGUCCAAAUAGAAUUGUAAAGAAAACUAAUACCGACUCUUUGAAGAAUUGGUUCAGAAUUUUGGAAGUAUAUAAUAUUUCUAUUCCUUGUCUAGGCAUUUGAAACACUUGUUCACUUGUGCUUUGAUUUCACUUCUCAUUUCACAGGAUGGUUGAAAUUUAGUUCAGAAAGAAUUUUUCCGUACAAAAAUGAGGGCGAAGAUUUUCAGUUACCAUUAUUUGACUUCAAAAAAAUUGCAAGUGCUACAAAUAACUUCUCCCACAACAAUAAGCUUGGAGAGGGCGGCUUUGGACCUGUUUACAAGGUGAUUAUAUUGAUACAUAUCAUUUGCAUAAUUAUGCAAAAAUAGUUCGCUAAACACCGUAUAUGCACUAUAAGGCACCAAAAGAGUAUUCGUUUGUAUUUUACUCAAAAAACAUUUUUCAACUUAAAGCACAACACUACAUUAUAGUUAACGUUUACUUACCGACUCAAAACUAGUAGAAAUGUCUCUACCCCGACAUAACUAUUAUUAAUAAAACGAAAAAUAUAUGUUUAAACGAUUAAAAUUAUACUUUCAUGUGUGAAGUGCAUGUAACAAAUGAAAUAUUGAUACACAUCAUGUUUGGCUCCAAUGGAGUUGUUACUGUAAUAUGGAAGUUAUCAGGUGUAUGAAAUGUGCAUCUUCUAUAAUGUAGCCGACUUAGUCAAAUGAUUUGAGUCAAAUUUAAACAUAGGAUAGCAUUAUAAUGGUGAUGAAACAGAGAAAGGAAUAAUGCUCACUUCUGGAAGCAUCAAAUGGAAUUACCACAAUGAUUUAUUUUCAGGGCAUGUUGGAUGAUGGACAAGAAAUAGCAGUGAAAAGACUAUCAGAUAAUUCGAGUCAAGGAGUAGAUGAAUUCAAGAACGAAGUUUCAUUUAUUGCCAAACUACAACACCGAAAUCUUGUGGUGCUUCUCGGGUGCUGCACUGAUAAAGGGGAAAGAAUAUUGAUCUAUGAAUACAUGCCCAAUAAAAGUUUAGAUUAUUUUAUUUUCGGUAUGGCCCUCCUCCAAAUACUGAUAUGUUUUCUUAACUUUCUUAUAAUCUAAAAUAUUAAAUUAGUGUAAUCGUCUUAUUUCCCUUAGAAACUAUAACUUACAUCACCCAAAUAUAGAGAAGUAUGUAUUUAUGGAUUAAUUUGAUGACAAAUGAAUAGAUGAAAAAUUAAGCAAGUCACUGGACUGGUCAAGGCGCUACAACAUUAUAAAUGGCAUUGCUAAGGGACUUCUCUAUCUUCACCAUGACUCUAAAUUAAGAAUCAUUCAUAGAGAUCUCAAAGCUAGUAAUAUUUUACUUGAUCACGAGAUGAAUCCAAAAAUUUCAGACUUUGGCUUGGCAAGAAGUUUUGAAGGAAGUCAAACUGAAGCAAAUACAUCAAGAGUUGUGGGGACAUAGUAAGAAUUUCUACAACACUGCAAAUAUUUUUGUCUCUUUUGCUUAGAAACUGACAUCAUUUUGUUUUACCUCCCGCAGUGGUUACAUGCCUCCUGAGUAUGCUAUUGAUGGACUAUUCUCAGUUAAAUCUGAUGUUUAUAGUUUUGGUGUUUUACUGAUCGAGAUAGUGAGUGGGAAGAAAAAUAGAUUAUUCAAUCAUCCUGAUCACAGCUUUAACCUUCUUGGACAUGUAAGUGCAUAUGAAUAUAUUCUAACGCUCUUAUCCUACACACUUAACUACUUUGGAUAAAUUAUAAAAUCAAUCUUUUUAGGCAUGGAAAAGUUAUAAAGAAGAUGAGCUUUUAGGACUAAUCGAUGGGGUGCUCUUGGAGUCAAGUAACCAUAAUGAAGUGUUUCGAGUUAUCCAAAUUGGAUUAUUAUGCGUUCAACAAUAUCCAGAAGACAGACCGAGUAUGUCAUACGUGGUUCUUAUGUUGAGUAGUAAUAUUGCAUUGCCUCAUCCUAAACAACCAGGUUUUUUCACAGAGAGAAAACUGCAUGAAGCAUAUUAUUCAUUGAGCAAACCAAUAUUGUCUUCAUCCAACCAAUUAACUAUUACGGUUCUUUCACCUCGAUUGUAAUGCUUAGUGCCUUUGGUACCUCAAUUUUAUUAUAAAUAGUUGUACAUGAUGUAAUCAAUCAAGAGUUAUAUUUUUCUAUAAGAUGGAAGCAAUCAUACUGCCAAGCAAGAGCUUUGAAGCUGAAUUUUUUUAUUAUUUUGUUAGCAUCAAAAACAAAAAAGAUAUACAUACUACAUGUGCAUACUUGCAAGCCAGGAAUACACUGAAACGUAGAUAAUGGUCUAAACUGCCAAACUGUAUAAAAAUUGAUUCUGAAGGAUCAAAAGACUUUCAUAAGUCACUGCUAUAGUAGUAUGAUAACAAUCUGCCUAUAUUCAUAGUCAUUGAUAAUUAUAUUUUUUGAGCUCGAUAGAAUUUUUGACCAUGAUUUUUUGCACAUUCGAGAAGUUGACCCCAAUUAAAAAAAACGUUUUACAAAUUGAACAUUUAAGUACAUGGAUUUCUAGAACAAUAUCUUUACUUUUGACGAGAAAUAGCCAUGUGCAUUAGGCAGGCAAUCAAAAGGGUAUUUGGGUAAUUUUGGCAUUUUCAUUCUUCAUAUCUUUGUUCUCAUUUUUUAUAACCAUUGCCACCACCGCCACCAGAGAAGGAAACAAUGGCAAUAACGGCCAUUAGGCAGUCUUGUUUUGCAAUUCUAUGGUGCAUCUGCAGUUUUAACCCCUUCCAGUUAUACAAACUUGUUUACAUUCAUGAUGAAUAGAGAAAUUAGAUUUACACAGCUUUGGUUAUUCAGUCAUCUACAGGGCAUUCAACAUUAAGUUUCUCUCUCUCAAUCAUCCAUGAGUUUGUUAGAUAUUAGAGGUAGAGAGUUUCGUUGAAAGAUUAAUUUGGUCUGCCAAAGUUAAUGGGUGGAUUUUAGCAGAUUAACUAAUGAAUCGGACCUAUUACCGACCAAGUAUGCUCAUUGAACUCUUGUUGUACUAUACUACUCAUAUAAUAAGCAAUCCAUUGAAGAAACAGAAUCAAACAUCAUAUAUCAUUGAAUAAACAUUAAUUAGUGAAUUCCAAGUAGUGGUAUUUCUCUCAAGCAUUUCAUCAAACAUACAUUAUGCAUAAUCCAUUCCACUAAAAUUUGCAUAAGUUGAUGAAUUUAUUACCUGGGAAGGCGUCAAUUUGAAUACCCAAUUUGGCUAAGAACCUAUGGACUAACACAUCAUUAGAUCUUCAGAAAUCUUUUCCGUGUAUGAGGUAUAAUUUCCUAGCACGCCAUUUUCAAAUAUGGACUCUGUCCAAGUCCAGCAUUUGGAAAUUGAACAACCUUGUAAACCUGAAAAACAAGCGACUGCCACCGUGCACUCUGUUAGGAAUCCUGUUAUGAGAGGAAUCAUAUUUUUUUGUAAGAAUAUUAAUUUUGGAAGUGGUCAUACU